RNAcentral lists this long non-coding RNA (1093 nucleotides) under Malus domestica (apple). Its description in RNAcentral is "long non-coding RNA (MDOM_LNC007317)". Lineage: Eukaryota; Viridiplantae; Streptophyta; Magnoliopsida; Rosales; Rosaceae. The record is from RNAcentral.
UGAGCGUGGUUCAGUUGUAGUUUAUUACCCUAAACACUACGAAUUGCCAAUCAUGGUGCGUUCGCAUCCAUCGCUCUUCCGUCGUCUGGUGUUCUCUUUCUUUCCCGCUUUUUUAUUUUGUUGUUCAAUUUUAAACUGUCAAGACAUCGCGCGUAUCUCAAAAUUCUAAUCCAUCACUCUUUAUUUUAUUUUGUUGUUCAGUAUACACUGUAUAUUUGUACUCUUAGAUGAGCAUUGGACUUAUGAUGUGAAUCUACAUACACUGUAUAUUUUAUAUGAUUUUUUUGUUCAAUAGACUUGUCCUUGCAACGAUUGUGAAAGAUUGGGCUUUGCAUUUCGUGACCCUAUCCGAGUAUAUGAUUAAUGCAACACCCCAUAGAACAAUGAAGUAACGUAUUCAUAUGAGCUCCCGCGCCUCAGCAGUAUUUUUUUAAUUAUACAUGAGCAUUCGACCUCUGAUGUGAAUCUACGUACAUGUUUGUAUAACCUUACUUCAGAUCAAUUCAUCUCGAAAUUGUUCCUGAUGAAGCAAUUUCAUCUAGAAGUAGGCAGAGGAAGAGAAAUUAAGCACAAACUUUGUUUGGGUUCAAACUAUUGCGUAAUAAUGGAUUAGAAGGAAAUCUAAACGUCUUGGAACGCAAGAUAGGCUUACAAAUAAUACUCAAGGUUUAUUCUUACAGUUUAGGUUUACAUAGAAUCACCCAUACAAAUUAUAAGAGACAAUAUAUUUUUAUAUAAUUUCAGUAUCAUUCUUUCAAAUAUUUUUACUUUUGACACUCUAUUUAUAUAUAUAAUUUUUAGUAUCAUUCUUUCUUUUUUUUUUUUUAACAAAGGAUCUAAAAUAAAUAUUAAUAGAAGGCACUUUAUCAACCAAAAAUCAAUGAAAUUACAAUUAUGACCUUUACUACAUAACUCAAAAAUGUGAGAAAAGGAAAAAAAAUGGGGCAUUAAAGUAAUUUUGAACAAACUACUUUUUGUUGUUUUUUCUAAACCUCACGGUCAUGUUGCCCUAUCAUUACCCUCUAAACUCACUCUCUCUCUCUUUCUCUUUCUUUCUUUUUUUUAAAGAAAAGAACUUCAUUAAAGGGAGAAA